RNA transcript from Hordeum vulgare subsp. vulgare (domesticated barley), 792 nucleotides. RefSeq lists it as uncharacterized. NCBI's taxonomy places the organism in Eukaryota, Viridiplantae, Streptophyta, Magnoliopsida, Poales, Poaceae. The transcript is spliced from 8 exons. The record is from RefSeq and is a predicted model, not a curated record.
UCGUUAUCGGAACUGACUUAUUCAAGAGACGACGACGCGAAACUCGAGACCAUGCGUGCACGGCUGUUGGGUAUUCUCAAAAGGCAUGAAGAUCUGAAAGAGCGUCUCUCGCGCGUCCAGCAGGGAGCAGGCUAUAGUACAGACGUACAAGUUUAAGCAAGCUACACAUGAGGACAUCUAUGUUUGGCACAGCAAGUAGAGAUUGAUGACUCUGGUUGCUUUUGAUGAAGCCGUACCCUUGCUCAGCUGCUGUAACAGAAGAAAAAUGUGAUGCAUGGUCAGCUGUAGAUGUUGAAUGAUGGCAAGGAAAUCCUUCCCCAAGCAUUGUGCUUUAAGCAGCUCAUCAGGGUUAAGGGUUAAUUGGACCCUGAGAAAUUCACCAUGCGAAUUAAUAGGAAGACCCAUAUAGCCGCCACUGUACAGAGUUGGCAUAUGCUGAAAGAAACACUUUGAGAAGAAGACAAAUUACACUCUGGUUACUAACCGUGACAUUUCGUUGGAAGAGAUUUUGUUCUCGGUGAUUGGGCAUAGUGAUUUUGAUGCAUCGCCUGAUCUCAUUCUCACAGAGGAUAUCAAUGGGGUGAAUGCCGGUACUCAACCUAUUGAUGCACAUGGACAUGAUGACUCUCCAGCGUUUAUGGACCAACCAACCUGUAAUCAUGGACCUUAUUGUCUUGUAGACCAUUUGGUGUUUCGAGUGUUUUGGAGCUUGCACUUUGUGCAUGUAGAUACAAACUUGUGUGUUCUGGACCAUCUGAAGUCUCUCGUAGUAACCAAUAGUCCUUAUCUUUU